Hevea brasiliensis (rubber tree) is the source of this 107-nucleotide small nucleolar RNA. The record is from RefSeq and is a predicted model, not a curated record. NCBI's taxonomy places the organism in Eukaryota, Viridiplantae, Streptophyta, Magnoliopsida, Malpighiales, Euphorbiaceae.
AUGCCAUGGUAUGGACAUUCCCUCUGUAGGUCCUUUUGUAUUUCCCAUGCAUCAUAAAGUGAUUCACCUUCCUUUUGUCUGAAGGUAUUGAGCUCAAGCCUCAGUCU